This is a transfer RNA of Cylindrobasidium torrendii FP15055 ss-10, 111 nucleotides long. It matches the Rfam family "tRNA". From Rfam's summary of the family: Transfer RNA (tRNA) molecules are approximately 80 nucleotides in length. Their secondary structure includes four short double-helical elements and three loops (D, anti-codon, and T loops). Further hydrogen bonds mediate the characteristic L-shaped molecular structure. tRNAs have two regions of fundamental functional importance: the anti-codon, which is responsible for specific mRNA codon recognition, and the 3' end, to which the tRNAs corresponding amino acid is attached (by aminoacyl-tRNA synthetases). tRNAs cope with the degeneracy of the genetic code in two manners: having more than one tRNA (with a specific anti-codon) for a particular amino acid; and 'wobble' base-pairing, i.e. permitting non-standard base-pairing at the 3rd anti-codon position. The record is from Rfam. Lineage: Eukaryota; Fungi; Basidiomycota; Agaricomycetes; Agaricales; Physalacriaceae.
GGCGAGAUGGCCGAGCGGUCUAAGGCGCCAGACUAAGGAGAGGACCAACUCGCUCUUGCGAGUCUCACAAUCUGGUCCGAAAGGGCGUGGGUUCGAAUCCCACUCUCGUCA